Molecule: unclassified non-coding RNA, 266 nt
Filed under: uncultured fungus
Lineage: Eukaryota; Fungi
Description: sequence contains ITS1, 5.8S rRNA gene
Rfam family: 5.8S ribosomal RNA (bases 218-266)
Source: RNAcentral
UUUCCGUAGGUGAACCUGCGGAAGGAUCAUUAAUGAAGUUUGGGCUUCGGCCCUCUCUCUCUAAACACACUUGUGAAUCUACCCUGUUGCUUUGGCAGGUCUCUGUGCGGGUUGCGAAACCCGGAUGGUUAGACCGAGAGGUGCCUGCCAAGGACAUUCAAAAUCACCCUUUUAUUUUUCAAUUGUCUGACAAUCGUUUUUAAAACAAACAAAAUAAAACUUUCAACAAUGGAUCUCUUGGCUCUGGCAUCGAUGAAGAACGCAGC